AAUUACUCCUCAGCUGCUUGUUCUUGUUGAGCUACUAUUGGCCUACCAAAUUCUACAUUAACAAAUUAAACAAAAAUAUUAGAAUGAUUAGUUAAGAGUGAAAUAACUAAAACAACAUAUCAAAAUAUAGUAGUAAGAUAUUACCUGCUUCAAUAACUUCAUAGAAUUCAGUUUCCUCCUGAGUAGGUUGUAUUAUCCGUUCUCCUAAUAGAGUUGAGCGAAGCCAAUUUUGAGUGCAAAUCAAUGACUCAACAGUUUUAUGAGUUAAAGAACUUCUAAAAGGAUCAAGAACAC
Molecule: long non-coding RNA, 294 nt
Filed under: Citrus sinensis (sweet orange)
Lineage: Eukaryota; Viridiplantae; Streptophyta; Magnoliopsida; Sapindales; Rutaceae
Description: long non-coding RNA (CSIN_LNC000113)
Source: RNAcentral